This 867-nucleotide long non-coding RNA is filed under the name Mus musculus (house mouse). Its description in RNAcentral is "long non-coding RNA chr8:120685398-120686265". The record is from RNAcentral. Lineage: Eukaryota; Metazoa; Chordata; Mammalia; Rodentia; Muridae.
GGCUUUGCUGUUCCGUUGCCUGUGUGCAGUUGCCUGGGUUCUGAGGAAAGCUGCGGAGGAGGUCAGUGUCUUCACCUCUGGCUCACAGGGUACAGCACCCAGCUAAUGUCCUUGUUUUCACUCAGAGCUAGAACGAGAGCCGACCAGGUCCUUUCCUUAAGACUCUAAGGCAGCGGGCUUCAACCUUCCUAACUCUGGUCCCUUUAGUACAGUUCCUCGUGUUAUGGUGACCUCCCAACCAUACAAUGAUUUUCAUGGCUAACUUCAUAACUGUAAUUCUGCUAGUGUUAUGAAUCGUGAUGUAAAUGCCUGAUUGGCAGAAUAUGUGCUAUGCAACCCCUCUGAAAGGGUCAAUCAACCGCCCCCCCCCAGGGGUGGCAUCCUAUAGGUUGAGAACCAUUGCUCUAAGGAAAUGCGUCACAAAGGCCAAGGCAGGGGCCUCUGAAACAACACAGCUCUGUGCUCAGCUUCGCCUCUACCCCGAUCCCAUAGGCUCCUCUUCUCUCCUUUCUCAGGCCCAGUAGGUGAGUGCUGGGUGACUCUUCACUGAAGCAUCGGAGACUUCCCUUGCUUGAACCCUUGAAGGAAGGCGUCACUAGACUCUCCUGGGACCCUCUGAGGAGGAGACGAAACAGAUACCUCUAGGCAGGGGCUGGUCUCUUGGACAUGGAGCCUCUCCGUAGACAGAUGUCACCACACUCCUUCCUUAAAAUAAAAAGGCAAAAGAAAGGGCUUUCUUCAUAGGCUGUUUAGCAACCCCGGGGAGGGAAAAGCAAUCAGGGACAUGGAAACGGGCCUGGGGUGUGUUGUGUGCUCGCCCGCAGAGCCCCGGGGCCCACACGCAGCAGGACUCAGCCUGGGAAAAGC